GAUGAAGAACGUAGCGAAGUGCGAUAUGUAGUGUGAAUUGCAGAAUUCCGUGAAUCAUCGAAUUUUUGAACGCAAAUUGCACUCUCCUCGGAGAGUAUGCCUGUUUGAGGGUCAGCCUAAAAAAAAAAUCGACAUCGUUGCUGUUCUGCGGUGACGUUGGUCGGAAAUUGGGUCAUCUUAAACUUUUAGGUUUAAGCGACUUAAAAUUUUCCUUUACGAUUCCAUGAACGUUUCUAAGAUUUAUUUCUUACACGUUUUUUAAGGUAUCGAUCUUAUUAGACGUGGCCGUCACAUCGGAUCGCGUCCAUAAUCUUUCAUUAACUGACCUCAGACAGGUAAGAGUACCCGCUGAACUUAAGCAUAUCAAUAAGCGGAGGA
Molecule: unclassified non-coding RNA, 378 nt
Filed under: soil metagenome
Description: partial contains 5.8S ribosomal RNA, internal transcribed spacer 2, and large subunit ribosomal RNA
Rfam family: 5.8S ribosomal RNA (bases 1-114)
Source: RNAcentral